This 457-nucleotide ribosomal RNA is filed under the name uncultured bacterium. Its description in RNAcentral is "bacterial SSU rRNA". It matches the Rfam family "Bacterial small subunit ribosomal RNA", at positions 340 to 786 of the family's 1533-position model. The record is from RNAcentral.
UACGGGAGGCAGCAGUGGGGAAUAUUGCACAAUGGGCGAAAGCCUGAUGCAGCUAUGCCGCGUGUAUGAAGAAGGCCUUAGGGUUGUAAAGUACUUUCAUCGGGGAGGAAAAAACAAAACUAAUAAUUUUAUUUCUUGACGUUACCCGAAAAAGAAGCACCGGCUAACUCCGUGCCAGCAGCCGCGGUAAUACGGAGGGUGCUAGCGUUAAUCAGAAUUACUGGGCGUAAAGAGCACGUAGGUGGUUUUUUUAAGUCAGAUGUGAAAUCCCUGGGCGUUAACCUAGGAACUGCAUUUUGAAACUGAAAUACUAGAGUAUCGUAGAGGGAGGUAGAAUUCUAGGUGUAGCGGUGAAAUGCGUAGAUAUCUGGAGGAAUACCUGUGGCGAAAGCGGCCUCCUAAACGAAUACUGACACUGAGGUGCGAAAGCGUGGGGAGCAAACAGGGAUUAGAUACC